Massospora cicadina is the source of this 83-nucleotide non-coding RNA. The record is from the annotation of a GenBank genome assembly. NCBI's taxonomy places the organism in Eukaryota, Fungi, Entomophthoromycota, Entomophthoromycetes, Entomophthorales, Entomophthoraceae.
AAUAAUAUGGCUCAUUUGUCAGAGCGUCCCCCUAGUAAGGGGAAGGUCAGUGGUUUGAUUCCGCAAGAGUUAUAUAAUAAUUA